This 468-nucleotide ribosomal RNA is filed under the name uncultured bacterium. RNAcentral's name for it is "partial 16S ribosomal RNA". It matches the Rfam family "Bacterial small subunit ribosomal RNA", at positions 28 to 507 of the family's 1533-position model. The record is from RNAcentral.
GACGAACGCUGGCGGCGUGCUUAACACAUGCAAGUCGAACGGAAAGGCCCUGCUUUUGUGGGGUGCUCGAGUGGCGAACGGGUGAGUAACACGUGAGUAACCUGCCCUUGACUUUGGGAUAACUUCAGGAAACUGGGGCUAAUACCGGAUAGGAGCUCCUGCUGCAUGGUGGGGGUUGGAAAGUUUCGGCGGUUGGGGAUGGACUCGCGGCUUAUCAGCUUGUUGGUGGGGUAGUUGCUUACCAAGGCUUUGACGGGUAGCCGGCCUGAGAGGGGGACCGGCCACAUUGGGACUGAGAUACGGCCCAGAGUCCUACGGGAGGCAGCAGUGGGGAAUAUGGCACAAUGGGCGGAAGCCUGAUGCAGCAACGCCGCGUGCGGGAUGACGGCCUUCGGGUUGUAAACCGCUGUCGCCUGUGACGAAGCGGGAGUGACGGUAAUGGGUAAAGAAGCACCGGCUAACUACGUG